Molecule: long non-coding RNA, 747 nt
Filed under: Gossypium barbadense (sea-island cotton)
Lineage: Eukaryota; Viridiplantae; Streptophyta; Magnoliopsida; Malvales; Malvaceae
Description: long non-coding RNA (GBAR_LNC012220)
Source: RNAcentral
AAACCGAACAACCGAAACAAAGCGAAAGCACAACCGGUGUUCUUUCUCUCCCUAUAACUCCUGUCAAAAAUUAUGGCAAGCACAAUAGCACAAGAUAUGUUCUCUAGCAACCUUAAUCAACCACAAAUCAACUAAUGCAACCACAACAAAAAUAAAUAGAGACACCGGUAUUUUUACGUGGAAAACCCCUUUAAAUCAAGGGUAAAAACCACGGGACUUUAGAGUCCGAUCAAGAGUUCCACUAUCAUCAAAUGUUCAACUACAAGAUCACAAUAUCAAGCCUACAACAAGCAUUCAACUCCGACAAGGCUAACAAUAUGUAAUCUUUAGCAAAAGAGAGAAAAAUGAGAGAAUAUCACCAAAAACGUAGCUGCUGAAAAAUGGGUAUUUCCGACGCUACAAGUCUCGGAUGAAAAAUCCGACCGUACAAAGUCAAGAACACCUUAUCACCUAGCUGCUGUCCAAAAAUCAGCUCAAUCGAACCACGGAUGGACCUUCGAUCGAGGAGUUGAUCACUGCUGCACCAAGCUUGAAAAACUGAUUUUUUUCUAUUCUCUCUUUUUCUCCAACGAGCUUCAAUCUCACUCUCUGUUUCUCUCUGGAUGUAAUUGAGAAUUUUGCUCUCAAUUAAGAAUGCUGCCCACUCCCACGUUAAAAGGCCAAAAAAUUGGCUUUUGACAAAAUAAAAAAAAAGGCAAAACAUUGUGGCAGAAAAUAUGGGUUUCCCACAUAGUGGGACCCAUACCC